Molecule: ribosomal RNA, 301 nt
Filed under: Escherichia coli
Lineage: Bacteria; Pseudomonadati; Pseudomonadota; Gammaproteobacteria; Enterobacterales; Enterobacteriaceae
Description: bacterial SSU rRNA
Rfam family: Bacterial small subunit ribosomal RNA
Source: RNAcentral
AGUCCACGCCGUAAACGAUGAGUGCUAAGUGUUGGAGGGUUUCCGCCCUUCAGUGCUGCAGCAAACGCAUUAAGCACUCCGCCUGGGGAGUACGACCGCAAGGUUGAAACUCAAAGGAAUUGACGGGGGCCCGCACAAGCGGUGGAGCAUGUGGUUUAAUUCGAAGCAACGCGAAGAACCUUACCAGGUCUUGACAUCCUUUGACCACUCUAGAGAUAGAGCUUCCCCUUCGGGGGCAAAGUGACAGGUGGUGCAUGGUUGUCGUCAGCUCGUGUCGUGAGAUGUUGGGUUAAGUCCCGCA